RNAcentral lists this long non-coding RNA (305 nucleotides) under Sus scrofa (pig). The record is from RNAcentral. Lineage: Eukaryota; Metazoa; Chordata; Mammalia; Artiodactyla; Suidae.
CUUCCAGGGGUCCCAGGGGCUGUUCCUGGGGGAGUUCCCGGAGGCGUCUUUUUCCCAGGGGCUGGUCUCGGAGGCCUGGGAGGAGGAGCACUGGGCCCUGGAGGCAAGCCACCCAAGCCAGGUGUCGGAGGGCUCGCAGGCGCUGGCCUUGGGGCAGGGCUCGGGGCCUUUCCUGCAGGCGCCUUCCCAGGGGCUCUGGUGCCCGGCGGCGUGGCUGACGCGGCCGCAGCCUAUAAAGCUGCUGCCAAGGCUGGUGAGUGUUACCCUUUGGGACAAGCCAAGAGCUCUGUGGCUUCUGGGGGCUC